This 285-nucleotide ribosomal RNA is filed under the name uncultured bacterium. RNAcentral's name for it is "partial 16S ribosomal RNA". It matches the Rfam family "Bacterial small subunit ribosomal RNA", at positions 223 to 524 of the family's 1533-position model. The record is from RNAcentral.
GGAUGAGCCCGCGGCCUAUCAGCUUGUUGGUGGGGUAACGGCCUACCAAGCCGAUGACGGGUAGGGGGCGUGAGAGCGUGGCCCCCCACACGGGAACUGAGACACGGUCCCGACGCCUACGGGCGGCAGCAGUGAGGAAUCUUGCGCAAUGGGGGAAACCCUGACGCAGCGACGCCGCGUGCGGGAGGAAGGCCUUCGGGUCGUAAACCGCUUUUCUGGGGGACGAGUAAGGACGGUACCCCAGGAAGAAGUCCCGGCUAACUACGUGCCAGCAGCCGCGGCCGA